GAUGAACGCUGACAGAAUGCUUAACACAUGCAAGUCAACUUGAACUUCGGUUUGGGUGGCGGACGGGUGAGUAACGCGUAAAGAACUUGCCUCACAGUUAGGGACAACAUUUGGAAACGAAUGCUAAUACCUGAUAUUAUGAUUUUAGGGCAUCCUAGAAUUAUGAAAGCUAUAUGCGCUGUGAGAGGGCUUUGCGUCCCAUUAGCUAGUUGGAGAGGUAACGGCUCACCAAGGCGAUGAUGGGUAGCCGGCCUGAGAGGGUGAACGGCCACAAGGGGACUGAGACACGGCCCUUACUCCUACGGGAGGCAGCAGUGGGGAAUAUUGGACAAUGGACCAAGAGUCUGAUCCAGCAAUUCUGUGUGCACGAUGAAGUUUUUCGGAAUGUAAAGUGCUUUCAGUUGGGAAGAAAAAAAUGACGGUACCAACAGAAGAAGUGACGGCUAAAUACGUG
This 454-nucleotide ribosomal RNA is filed under the name uncultured bacterium. RNAcentral's name for it is "partial 16S ribosomal RNA". It matches the Rfam family "Bacterial small subunit ribosomal RNA", at positions 28 to 507 of the family's 1533-position model. The record is from RNAcentral.